GAUGAAGAACGUAGCGAAAUGCGAUAAGUAGUGUGAAUUGCAGAAUUCAGUGAAUCAUCGAAUCUUUGAACGCACAUUGCGCCCUUUGGUAUUCCUUAGGGCAUGCCUGUUCGAGCGUCAUUUAAACCUUCAAGCUAAGCUUGGUGUUGGGUGACUGUCCGCUUCACGGCGGACUCGCCUCAAAAUUAUUGGCGGCCGGUACAUUGGCUUCGAGCGCAGCAGAAACGCGAACUCGGGCCCGUCGUAUUGGCUCCCAGACGCUAUCUUCACAUUUUUGACCUCGGAUCAGGUAGGGAUACCCGCUGAACUUAAGCAUAUCAAUAAGCGGAGGA
This 332-nucleotide unclassified non-coding RNA is filed under the name soil metagenome. RNAcentral describes it as "partial contains 5.8S ribosomal RNA, internal transcribed spacer 2, and large subunit ribosomal RNA". The stretch from base 1 to 120 matches the Rfam family "5.8S ribosomal RNA", at positions 35 to 154 of the family's 154-position model. The record is from RNAcentral.